CCUACGGGAGGCUGCAGUGAGGCAUCUUGGUCAAUGGGCGCGAGCCUGAACCAGCCAAGUCGCGUGAGGUCCUCCUUUCCUAUGUAUUGUCCCCCUCUUUUUUCUUUUCUCCCCCUCCUCCCCUCGUGGCGUUCCGCGCGUCCCCGCCGCCCCCGCCUCGGCUCCCUCCGUGCCCGCCGCCGCGGUCCUCCUUAGGAUGCGCGCGUUAUCCGGAUUUAUUUUUUUUACAGUGUUUUCCUUCGGAAGAUCACGUCAUCGGUAACCUUGAGAGGCUCAACCUCUUCGCGCCGUUGCCACUGGUUUUCUUGAGUGAGCGAGAAGUAUGCGGAAUGCGUGGUGUAGCGGUGAAAUGCAUAGAUAUCACGCAGAACUCCGAGGGCGAAGGCAGCAUACCGGCGCUCAACUGACGCGCAUGCACGAAAGUGUGGGUAUCGAACAGGAUGAGAGACCCGAGUAGUC
This 459-nucleotide ribosomal RNA is filed under the name uncultured bacterium. RNAcentral's name for it is "partial 16S ribosomal RNA". It matches the Rfam family "Bacterial small subunit ribosomal RNA", at positions 338 to 795 of the family's 1533-position model. The record is from RNAcentral.